AUUGAACGCUGGCGGCAUGCCUUACACAUGCAAGUCGAACGGCAGCGCGGACUUCGGUCUGGCGGCGAGUGGCGAACGGGUGAGUAAUGUAUCGGAACGUACCAUUCAGUGGGGGAUAACGCAGCGAAAGUUGCGCUAAUACCGCAUAUUCUGUGCGCAGGAAAGCAGGGGAUCGCAAGACCUUGCGCUGAUUGAGCGGCCGAUAUCAGAUUAGCUAGUUGGUGAGGUAAAGGCUCACCAAGGCGACGAUCUGUAGCGGGUCUGAGAGGAUGAUCCGCCACACUGGAACUGAGACACGGUCCAGACUCCUACGGGAGGCAGCAGUGGGGAAUUUUUGGACAAUGGGCGCAAGCCUGAUCCAGCCAUGCCGCGUGAGUGAAGAAGGCCUCGGUGUAAGACUCUUUCGCCGGAGAAUACGUAUGGUUAAGUACCUA
This 434-nucleotide ribosomal RNA is filed under the name uncultured bacterium. RNAcentral describes it as "bacterial SSU rRNA". It matches the Rfam family "Bacterial small subunit ribosomal RNA", at positions 30 to 467 of the family's 1533-position model. The record is from RNAcentral.